This 497-nucleotide ribosomal RNA is filed under the name uncultured bacterium. Its description in RNAcentral is "partial 16S ribosomal RNA". It matches the Rfam family "Bacterial small subunit ribosomal RNA", at positions 28 to 507 of the family's 1533-position model. The record is from RNAcentral.
GAUGAACGCUGGCGGCGUGCCUAAUACAUGCCAGUCGAGCGAACAGACGAGGAGCUUGCUCCUCUGACGUUAGCGGCGGACGGGUGAGUAACACGUGGAUAACCUACCUAUAAGACUGGGAUAACUUCGGGAAACCGGAGCUAAUACCGGAUAAUAUAUUGAACCGCAUGGUUCAAUAGUGAAAGACGGUUUUGCUGUCACUUAUAGAUGGAUCCGCGCCGCAUUAGCUAGUUGGUAAGGUAACGGCUUACCAGGGCAACGAUGCGUAGCCGACCUGAGAGGGUGAUCGGCCACACUGGAACUGAGACACGGUCCAGACUCCUACGGGAGGCAGCAGUAGGGAAUCUUCCGCAAUGGGCGAAAGCUUGACGGGGCAACGCCGCGUGAGUGAUGAAGGUCUUCGGAUCGUAAAACUCUGUUAUUAGGGAAGAACAAAUGUGUAAGUAACUAUGCACGUCUUGACGGUACCUAAUCAGAAAGCCACGGCUAACUACGUG